UACGAAGGGUGCAAACGUUGCUCGGAAUCAUUGGGCGUAAAGCGCACGUAGGCGGCUUCAAAAGUCGGAUGUGAAAUCCCACGGCUCAACCGUGGACGUGCAUCCGAAACUGGGAGGCUUGAGUACUGAAGAGGAUCGCGGAAUUCCCGGUGUAGAGGUGAAAUUCGUAGAUAUUCGGAAGAACACCAGUGGCGAAGGCGGCUCACUGGACCGGCAUUGACGCUGAGGUGCGAAAGCGUGGGGAGCAAACAGG
Molecule: ribosomal RNA, 253 nt
Filed under: uncultured bacterium
Lineage: Bacteria
Description: partial 16S ribosomal RNA
Rfam family: Bacterial small subunit ribosomal RNA
Source: RNAcentral